CUACGGGAGGCAGCAGUAGGGAAUCUUCCGCAAUGGGCGAAAGCCUGACGGAGCAACGCCGCGUGAGUGAUGAAGGUCUUCGGAUCGUAAAACUCUGUUGUUAGGGAAGAACAAAUUUGUUAGUAACUGAACAAGUCUUGACGGUACCUAACCAGAAAGCCACGGCUAACUACGUGCCAGCAGCCGCGGUAAU
RNAcentral lists this ribosomal RNA (193 nucleotides) under uncultured bacterium. Its description in RNAcentral is "partial 16S ribosomal RNA". It matches the Rfam family "Bacterial small subunit ribosomal RNA", at positions 339 to 524 of the family's 1533-position model. The record is from RNAcentral.